This 433-nucleotide ribosomal RNA is filed under the name uncultured bacterium. Its description in RNAcentral is "partial 16S ribosomal RNA". It matches the Rfam family "Bacterial small subunit ribosomal RNA", at positions 29 to 507 of the family's 1533-position model. The record is from RNAcentral.
AACGAACGCUGGCGGCAUGCCUAACACAUGCAAGUCGAACGAGACCUUCGGGUCUAGUGGCGCACGGGUGCGUAACGCGUGGGAACCUGCCCUUAGGUUCGGAAUAACUCCCCGAAAGGGAUGCUAAUACCGGAUAAUGUCUUCGGACCAAAGAUUUAUCGCCUUUGGAUGGGCCCGCGUUGGAUUAGCUAGUUGGUAGGGUAAAAGCCUACCAAGGCGACGAUCCAUAGCUGGUCUGAGAGGAUGAUCAGCCACACUGGGACUGAGGCACGGCCCAGACUCCUACGGGAGGCAGCAGUGGGGAAUAUUGGACAAUGGGCGAAAGCCUGAUCCAGCAAUGCCGCGUGAGUGAUGAAGGCCUUAGGGUUGUAAAGCUCUUUUACCCGGGAUGAUAAUGACAGUACCGGGAGAAUAAGCUCCGGCUAACUCCGUG